This 74-nucleotide transfer RNA is filed under the name Alphaproteobacteria bacterium. RNAcentral describes it as "tRNA-Gln". It matches the Rfam family "tRNA". Rfam says of the family: Transfer RNA (tRNA) molecules are approximately 80 nucleotides in length. Their secondary structure includes four short double-helical elements and three loops (D, anti-codon, and T loops). RNAcentral also lists the same sequence under 1 other name. The record is from RNAcentral. Lineage: Bacteria; Pseudomonadati; Pseudomonadota; Alphaproteobacteria.
UGGGGCGUGGUGAAACGGUAUCACGAGCGGCUCUGACCCGCUUAUUCCUGGUUCGAAUCCAGGCGCCCCAGCCA